This 7731-nucleotide long non-coding RNA is filed under the name Sorghum bicolor (sorghum). RNAcentral describes it as "long non-coding RNA (SBIC_LNC008661)". The record is from RNAcentral. Lineage: Eukaryota; Viridiplantae; Streptophyta; Magnoliopsida; Poales; Poaceae.
UGGCUUGUGGUUGGCAUAGCAGUAUGUGGCCAAGGUUAGGCAUGCAUGCGCUUUCUUGAGGGGCACGAGGCAGACCAUCGGUGGUGGCAGGACGCGCGGCACGGUCACAGCAGGAUCCAACGGGUCUGGCUCCAGCACGAGGUGGCAGGGUGCGGCGUUGGUUGAGGAGGAGGACUGACCGCUUGUGCAGGUCGGUGGCGGCUCCAAGCUAGUAUGGAGACGAGGGGGAUGGGAUCUAGGUUAACAACAACCGAGUGUGGAAGACACAGGAAAUAGCUGCCGCCCCGCAUUACUUGAAUCGUGUGUUUCAACAACGUCCAACACUCGAAUUUUGGGCCAUCGGAUGUUGAUCUGACGUUUCCUAUUGUUUUAUGUUCUUUAUGUGUUUCGGUUAGCUAUGUAUGUUCUUAUUUGGACUCGUGGGCCCAGUAUUUGUUUAGCCCAAUGUUAUUUUUUGUGUAACGCAAAACAUAUGCUCAAGACAUAUGAACACACGUGAAAAAAAGUCAGCAAGCUUCUUUGGUGAAUAUUUAUUUGUUACGCUACAAUACGACCUACAGCUGCCUAAUGAUAUAGCUUUUCUCCACACACACACAAUAAAAAACAAAAAAAGACAAGAAACAAAAAAAAGAGGGUAGACACAAAACAAAAAAAAACAUUGUGAAUAAAUUAUGAAAAAUAAAAAAGACAAAAAACAAAUAAAAAACAAAAGGAAAACACACACACACACACACACCGCGCACACACACAACAAAUACAAAAAAAGAAAAAGAAAACACACACACACACACCGACCACACACACACAACACACACAAUAAAAAUAACAAAAAAAAAUAAAAAAGACAAAAAAAAAGAGGGUAGAUACAACAAAAAAACAUUGUCAAUAAAUUACGAAAAAUAAAAAAGAAAAACAAAUACAAAAAAAGGAAAAGGAAAAAACAAAAAAAACAUUGUCAAAAAGUUAUGAAAAGUAAUAAAGGAAAAAAACAAAAAAAAGACAAGGAAAACAAAAAAAUAAAAAAAAAACAAGCCCAACCUAAGGCCUGUUGGGUAUUUUAAACGCAAACAGAAAAAUCCGCAAGCGUACGGAUACCGAUGUAGCCUUCACCCGGGAGUAUUCCAGAGUAUCGAUUUUCCACAGAGAACGUGACUGUACUAAUUAAGAUCCAAGAUCGCCCAAGGAUAACUAUAUAAUUGUUUUUGGUGGGAAGAGAAGAAGUUUUCUGAGAGUUCUCUAGUUGAUCUAAGAAUCAAGAAUUACUUCAAGAUUAUCUAUAUCGGGACAUCAGAGCACUAACCACAGAAAGAGAUGAGAAGGGGGCUAGGAAGGUCUGACUACGGUCCUACAAACACCGAUCCGAACGUGGUGGAAUACGUCGACUGUUAGGGCUGUCACUACCCUAAGGCUACCACAACAAUCCGCAGGAUUGGGUGCAAUUCUAGGUAAUUGCAAGACUAAACACCACGUCUAAUCUAUUAAUUAAUACUCUAGCGUUAUAAAGACUAGAGCACUUGAUGCAAGCGGGAAUCCAAUAAAUAAGUUGAAUGUAAACAAAAGUAGUUAAAGAACUCAGGAAUUAUGAAUUGAAGAACCUAGAGAACGAUGAAGAACGAACCUGAUGCUGCAAAAGUAUAAUGUUGAGGAAGAUCCGACAGAUCCGGCUCCUCCUUCGCUCUCCUCUUCUCUCUCCCUAUUGUCUAGAUUACAACUAGAACUAACUAGAACUAGAACUAGAGGAACUAGAACUAGAACUAGAUGAACUAGAACUAGAUCUAGAUGAACUAGAGGUAGAACUAGAAGAACUAGAGGGAUCCUCUCUACUUGGAUGAAGAAUUGAAACCCUAACUUGGAUUCUGUAGUAUGAUCUCCAGGGGCCAGGGGGCCUUGCUUAUAUAGUCUUUUCAUAUGAAUCUGGGCCGUCAGAUCAAACCGACAUCAAUCGCACGGUUUUCCUUGAUCCUUUAGGUCGGUGGAGCAUAAUCCGCAAAACGUGUCCUGAUUGAGCACUGUAGCUGGGCGGGUGCCCAGGAGAGUAGGGCGGGCGCCUUGCCUCCGAGCCCGAUUGCCUUCCCGUUCGUUCCCGUGGCUUCUGGAGUCUUAUAGAUGAUAGAAAAUUGUGCGGCACGUUAAUAUCUCUAUGUAAACCCGACAUGUGGGCCUUUCUUCCGUAUUUCCUGAUAACCCCCUGCAGAAAUAGACAAACACCAAAACUCGUGGAAUUCUGUCAGAUAAAACCCUAAGUCUAGGUGUUGGUUGUAUUUGGAUCCUUUUCUAUGAUUAGUUGAUGGUUAAAUGUGAGCAUUAAGGACCGUCAACAAGCUCCCCCAAGCUUAACCUUUGCUCGUCCCUGAGCAAAGAUAGACUCAAGAGUUUCUGCAGUGGUUUCAUGCCUUAGAGGUACACAUGCGUUUUAAAUAAGAUCUCAUCUCUGGGUUAGGUUAAACUGUUAAGAUUUAAACUUACUCAUAUUACCUUUCACCAUAGGGCUUGCAACCAUCACUUGUGUCUUGAGCAGUUAAAAGAUAGAACGGUCUAGUCAAGCGCCAUGUCUCUUGUUUUUUGAUUAACUAUAGCUCUGGAGUUUUUGCAGAUUUUCAAAUAAAACUCAGAGAUUCCUUGUAUGACUCUCUCUAGUCUCUCUUUUGUGGUAUUUCUGGAUCCUUACCAAGGUAAUAAAGGUGUAUGCCUUCUCUCAAAGUAUGUGGUAUUUUUGGUAUGAGGCAUAGUGACAUUGCCUUCUCUCUCACCCUACUCUAAUAAGGUUUUGAUAUUGGAGCUCAUAGGUGGGAGACAGCUAAUACAUACUUACAAGACAUUUAUUGCAUAGUCAAACAAUGGAUCCAGAAGAACAAGUCAUUAAGUCAAAUCAAGAUGUGCAUGUGUGGCGAAUGAAUGGUGAUAACAAUGGUGAAAGUCUAAUUCUACUUUUGCUCUUUUUGAGGGGAUACAUACCUUCCUUGCUCUUUUGAAACUUUUGGGAAGAAUGAGAUGCUCUGUAUUUUCUUUUUCUUUCCUCUCAGGUGGGUAUCUUGUACCCCUAAUUCUACUGUCGGACACUUGUCCAUUUUUACCUCUCGUCUCACUUUUUUUUUCUUUCGAGGUUCCGGGCACUUGCCCCUUUUUAUUUCCUCGUAUUAUUUCUCUUUUUUUCUCUCUUUUUUUAGAGCACUCAUCUCCUAAAAUAAUAUAGCAAGUGGUAGUAACAAGAUAACUUGAGCAUUUAUUUCACAGGGGAAAAACAGAAAUAUUUUUGGCUAUUCUCUCCCGGAUUAGGAGUAGAAUAUUUUUGGGUAGUUCUGGAGAUGGAAAUGGAUGGAUAUAUGUGGAUGCGUACUUCCGAAGUAGAAGUAGCAUGUAUGAGUGAACGUGCAAGUGAAUCUUGGUUUAACCACAUGACAAGCUCCUAAGGGUCUACACAGCUUGACCACACUCAAUGCUCAUAAGCAGUAAAAAGUAAAUGUGUGGCUCAAAGUCUAGCAAGCAUGUAUAUAUGGCUGUGGUAGGAAUUUAAACUCUCAUCAUAGAGAAACUCAUCAUGCAAUAUUUUAAUGAUUUUCAAAGAUAAAAUUCUCCAGAAUUCUAGCAUCUCUAGGAACAGAUAAACAGCAGCUCAACCUUCCCAUAUCAUAUCCGUUAACAACUUAGACUUUAGAUCAAGUACUCUCCCCACAAGUUCAGGUUUAGAGCAAACCUUAAUUCAUAACAGUGAUGCCUAAACUUGAGAGAGAUUUCAAUUUAGAGAACUAGUCAUGGUAGAGCAACUAUUCAUCAUUUCCAUGUGAGAGCUUAUCAUGAGGGUUCAUAGCAAACUUUAUUUAUUUAUUUAUUUAGCAAAUUAAGCAAAGACAUAUAUAAGCACAGAAUAUUUAUUUUGGUUUUUAUGAUUAUGCAUCUUUUUAUUAUUUGAGUGAAGUAUAAACAUGAGUAGAACACUUAGCUGGAUAAAUGGGGGUGCUCUCCCCCAAGCUGGAUUUUGACAUAAUUCCUUUUGAUGUAGCAGGUGGCGGAGGUGUAUUUGAAUGUCGGCAGUACCCUGACAGCGAUUAGGAUGUCCUCCGUCUGCUAGUCUUCUUUGAUCCUUGAAUUCUGUGGAGCUCAAAUAGACAACAAAGCUUUGUGGAACUAGUUAAGUGUUAGCAUAAAUAUCUAGCCUUUAUCAUGUUGAGCCUCCUCAAUAAAUGUUACUCUCUUUAGUAAGAUCAUAAAUUUAUUUUUAUAAUUUUAUUUUUAUAGGAUAGGAAAAUAUUUAUUCUAUCUUUAUGCCACCACAGUGAAUGUACUUAUGGGUUUUAUGCCAUGAGCAUACUCACAUGGGUCUUACUAUUUUUAACAUUUUUAUUUUCUUUUCAAGAUGAUAUGAACCUUUUUAACUAAGCAAACUAUUUUAAAAUAAUUGAAAGGAAAAAGAUAACUACCAAGUUUACCUCUUGGCAAGGCGUUCGGUGUUUUUAAGUCCUCCGAACGGGACUCUCCGUUUUCUCAGUCGUCCUGGGAUUCGCUGGAUGGCGUAGUCGGUGAUUCUGGCAGCGUCUGCUCUUCAUGUAUAACUAUCUUCUUUCUCCACACCUAACUCGGUGCUACGGUCUCCUCAGUACAGUUCUGCUCAAGCUGUAUGUCUUCAGACAUUACCACUUCUCCUUCGUAGUCCGCCCAUCCGUCCUUGAUGAUUUUCCUCCUCUGGUUGCGGUUGCGUUGUCUCCUUCUUGUCCUGACCUGCUUAGAGUCUUUAACUAUAUAGUUAGAGUUAGUAAAAUAGCGGCAUACCUUCUCAGAGGGGAAAUGCAUGUGGACUUCUUUGGUUCCAAUGUUGAUGAUUGCUUUAACGGUGCUAAGGAACGGUCUUCCAAGGAUGAUGGGUGGAUCAUGCUCUUCUUCUCCCAUGUCAAUAACUUUUCGGAAUGUCUGAUCUGCCAUCUGGAGCUGAAUGUAUGCCGGUUUUAGGGGCAUGGUUCCAAAUAGGAGCUGAUUGGUGACUGCGGCCAUUAUGUUGACGUCAGAUCCGGUGUCGUAGAGUGUCUUCUGAAAAGAAUAUCCGUUGAUUGUGCACUCGAUGCUUGGAACACCAGGGUCAUCCUUCUUGAACAAGAAAGGCGACUUGAGUCGACGAUCUUGACCUCCUUGAGCUGCAGUGAUCAUCUUAGCUGACUCGGUCCACAUUUGCUUGUUCCUAUUCCUCCUGUUGGUCCUCUUCCUUGGUUCAUGUCGGGAAUGCUCUGAGAUUUGUGUAGUCUUGUUCUUGAAGGAAAACGUCUCCUUCCUCCCCUUGAUGUAGAAACUGAUCUUGGCAACACUAGCAUGGAUGAUAGCUCCCGAGGUGUUCAGGAAUGGCCUCUUUGGACGCGGAGGUUCUUCAAUAUUCCCUUUAGGAAACCUGGGCAUAAUGUUGAUACUGGAGCCAAAGUCGCAGAGUGCUUCUGGGAAGUCCACCAUGUCGAUGGAGAUCGGGAUGACAGGGCGUCCCGGAUCGCCUCUGAGUAGUUUGGCCUCUGUUGAUUCCAACCUUGAUUUUGUUGAGGACGGUUGUAGUAGUUGUUGUUGUUGAAGUAGUUUACGUCCUCAAGCAUCCCAGGGCAGUGAUUGCCUGAGUGUCCAGUAUCUCCAUUGUGUUUGAGCUCGUAGAUCUAGGUUCUUCACUUGGUGGAGCCUGGGAGUUAUAAUACUUCUCCAUAUUUUGCUCAAAAUGUACCUGCUCAUAGAGACAAGGCAGAGAUCAAGUGCAUGGGCCCUGUUGGUGGAAAACACCAACAGAACCAAAAGUGUAUUUGUUCUCUCUAACCUUAAGCAUAAUGAGCAAGACAAAGUUGAUGGAUAAUAAGAUCAUGAGUGUAGCAUUUAAAAUAUUUGUCAGAUCAGAUCACUCAACCUUAUGGAAAGAUAAUCUAUCUAUAUUUAUGUUGUUUCUUUUAUAUAUAACUUCCAAAGAUUGAGUGUGCAACAUUUUUGCUCAUAUGAUUAGGAGUGUGGGAUCACAAAGGUGGAAGGACUAAACAUAUUGAAUCGAUUGGGUUGGUUAAUCUUAUAGUUGUAAAUCAUACAUGUUUUUCUCUUUUAUUCAUGUGAAUGCCAGAACCAAGGAGAAGCUUUAUAACAGUGAUAGUCAAGUACCUUAAGAUGUUACCUUACUUGAAGAGUGAUGUUACAGUAUCACCUUGUGGAAGCUUUCCUUUCUUAGCGGUUGUGCAUCAUGUUUGUUGCACCCUCCAUGGAUCAUCUCUUGUGAGCUAUGCUUUCCUUGUAUAAAUUGUUAAACUUCAUGUGUCUCUCUCUUUGUCUCCAAUGUGAGUUUAUCUCAGGACUUCCCAGGUCGAUAUUGAAAGUUUUCCUGCAGGGGUUAGUCCAACAAAAUAUCCAAUAUCUACUAUAGCAUACUAUCGGCUCAAAGAUCAACCUAGACACCAUGUCUAAUUUGAUUUAGGAGGGCAUUUUAACCUAAGCGCCAUGCUUAAUUUAAAAUCCUUUGGAAGUAAGAUCAUCAUUCCUAAACUAAGCACCAUGCUUAAUUAAGAGAUAAAUGAAACUACUCCAAACCUAGACAUAUACUAAAGCAAAUAAAGGUAGCAUGAGAGCAUUUAUAGAGAUCUACUCAAGUGGAGAUGAAGUAGUGUGAUUAGUAAUUAACAAAUUGAGCAUGUUUCAAAGGUAGGGACAACCAACAUAGCAACAUGGCAAAGGAUGAUUUUAUGUAAAGUACUCCCCCAAGCUUGAAUUUUGCAAAAUUCAAGUUUGGAUGAAUUUAAUUCAAUGUUGUAUGAUGGUUGGUUGGACAUACCUUGUGCUUGUCAUUCAUCCGAUCUUCUUGCUCUAAUCCUGAAAAGGUUAGUGACAAGAAUACCUGAAGGAAUUUUUUUACAAUUAUCCUUAUAUGCUCAACACACAUGGUAAUGUUGCAAAUAAUUAAAAGCUCAUGUUACAAUCUGAUCAGUGCUUGUUUUAGGACACUAAGCUUGUCCUUGGGAAACCAUCAAUUUAUGUCGGCGAAGUGGUUUCCCCUCCAACGCUGACCUAAAUCAAGAUCAACUCAACGAGAUCUGCAAAAUUUAUUAUAGACAUAUGCAUCGACAACCGCCCUUUUAAAGUUUUUAUAAAUAGAAAGGAAGGGGGGGCUGGAGAUCUCGAAUGUGGUGAUGUCUGAAAAACCAAUGGAUUGGGAAGAUGUUGCAUAUGAGCAUGGAGUAAAUGAAGUGGCUAUGAAAUAAAUUCCAUGCUCAUUAAUGCUUAGAGUGAAAUCCAUGUGGUAUGGUGAAAAUGAUAAGGUGAUUGUGGUAAAAAAGGAAAAGAAAAAGGAUACACGGACGACUUGGUUCGAAACUAGCACAGCUACCGUUCCCUGGCAACGGCGCCAGAAAGCUUGUUGGGUAUUUUAAACGCAAACAGAAAAAUCCGCAAGCGCACGGAUACCGAUGUAGCCUUCACCCGGGAGUACUCCAGAGUAUCGAUUUUCCACAGAGAACGUGAGUGUACUAAUUAAGAUCCAAGAUCGCCCAAGGAUAACUAUAUAAUUGUUUUUGGUGGGAAGAGAGGAAGUUUCCUGAGAGUUCUCUAGUUGAUCUAAGAAUCAAGAAUUACUUCAAGAUUAUCUAUAUCGGGACAUCAGAGCACUAACCACAGAAAGAGAUGAGAAGGAGGCUAGGAAGGUCUGACUACGGUCCUACAAACACCGAUCCGAACGUGGUGGAAUACGUCGACUGUUAGGGCUGUCACUACCCUAAGGCUACCACAACAAUCCGC